AUCGACAGACGCAGCACGCGUUUCUUUUUUAUAGUCGCUGGAAAAUGACGCAAGCGAGACGUAUAAAAGCGCCCGUCUCGCGCAUGACGUUCUCUUGGAGUCGUUGCUAUCGCUUGGCGAGAACCAUCUUCUCAUCAUGAGAGCGAAGUGGCGAAAGAAGCGUAUGCGCAGGCUGAAGCGUAAAAGGAGAAAGAUGAGGCAGAGGUCUAAGUAAACUGGACCCAGUUCGCUGAAGCUGAGAGUGCUCCUCUACUUCAAUCUCCUCAGCAAGAGUCUGCUGGAAGCCCAACUGAAGCUCCACUCAUCCACCAUCUAUGAGGUCUGCUUUCUUCUGAAUGAGGAUUUGGUUUCCCAUCACCUGGUUCUGCAGAAGCAUCCUGGUCUUGAUGACCAUGUGAACUGUUUUGGACAUUCCUUAGACCUGUCAGCUCAGCAAGUUUGUUAAUGUCUUCAAUAAAUCUUUUUGGUUUAAAAAUC
Molecule: long non-coding RNA, 477 nt
Organism: Cyprinus carpio (common carp)
Lineage: Eukaryota; Metazoa; Chordata; Actinopteri; Cypriniformes; Cyprinidae
Source: RefSeq, a predicted model, not a curated record